Molecule: non-coding RNA, 228 nt
Organism: Cinara cedri
Lineage: Eukaryota; Metazoa; Arthropoda; Insecta; Hemiptera; Aphididae
Source: the annotation of a GenBank genome assembly
CGUCUAAAUAUUGGAUAUUACCUCUGCGUUAAUAUUACAAACCUUUAAGGCUUUAUUAACCUACAGUCUAAAACCAAAAGUAUUUGAAAUACUUCAUAGUACUAGUAUUUACUUGAGUAGUAUUUUAAAUACUUUAAACAAAUUACCUAAGUACCUUUUUAACUAUUCCAAUACAUUAUAAAAGUAUUCAUUUAAUACUGGUAGGUACAUAAUAUGUCACAAUAUCAG